AUGCAGCUUGCCAAUUUUGGCUCACUAAUGCUUGCUGAAAUGCCAUUCAACUUAAAGACUUGCAAGAGAAAGACCGAUCCUUUAAAGCAAAGUAGUUAUGUGGAAAUAAUGACCGUUGUCAUCAGCGGGCGCUCUGUGUGCAGGAACUUGGCAGAGGAAAUACCCUUCAGUUCCCAGCUCCAUGAGUGGGGAAGGCAGAAGAAGGUGUACUCAGUGAACUGGGCUAUAGAGAAGCUAAUGAACCCCGUCUCUGCACCAUCAGUGGGACAGAACUCUGUUGGGAAAGGAAGAAGCAGUCAUUUGGUAAACAAAGACGGGAGGAAACCUUGA
Molecule: long non-coding RNA, 330 nt
Filed under: Coturnix japonica (Japanese quail)
Lineage: Eukaryota; Metazoa; Chordata; Aves; Galliformes; Phasianidae
Description: lncRNA (ENSCJPG00005003270.1)
Source: RNAcentral